RNAcentral lists this ribosomal RNA (406 nucleotides) under uncultured bacterium. RNAcentral describes it as "partial 16S ribosomal RNA". It matches the Rfam family "Bacterial small subunit ribosomal RNA", at positions 30 to 526 of the family's 1533-position model. The record is from RNAcentral.
AUUGAACGCUGGCGGCAUGCCUACCACAUGCAAGUCGAACGCGUGGCGGACGGGUGAGUAAUGUCUUGAAAAGUGCCUAAUGGAGAGAGAUAACUACUGGAACAGGUAGAUAAUACCGCAUACAAUUGGAUCUGCCCAAAUGGGCGUAGCUAGUAGGGGGGGUAAAGGCGCACUUAGGCGACGAUCCCUAGGUGGUCUGAGAGGAUGACCAGCCACACUGGAACUGAGACACGGCCCAGACUCCUACGGUAGGCAGCAGUGGGGAAUAUUGCACAAUGGGCGCAAGCCUGAUGCAGCCAUGCCGCGUGUAUGAAGAAGGCCUUCGGGUUGUAAAGUACUUUCAGCGGGGAGGCGUUACCCGCAGAAGAAGCACCGGCUAACUCCGUGCCAGCAGCCGCGGUAAUUC